AUUGAACGCUGGCGGCAGGCCUAACACAUGCAAGUCGAGCGGAUGAAGGGAGCUUGCUUCUGGAUUCAGCGGCGGACGGGUGAGUAAUGCCUAGGAAUCUGCCUGGUAGUGGGGGAUAACGUCCGGAAACGGGCGCUAAUACCGCAUACGUCCUGAGGGAGAAAGUGGGGGAUCUUCGGACCUCACGCUAUCAGAUGAGCCUAGGUCGGAUUAGCUAGUUGGUGGGGUAAAGGCCUACCAAGGCGACGAUCCGUAACUGGUCUGAGAGGAUGAUCAGUCACACUGGAACUGAGACACGGUCCAGACUCCUACGGGAGGCAGCAGUGGGGAAUAUUGGACAAUGGGCGAAAGCCUGAUCCAGCCAUGCCGCGUGUGUGAAGAAGGUCUUCGGGUUGUAAAGCACUUUAAGUUGGGAGGAAGGGCAGUAAGUUAAUACCUUGCUGUUUUGACGUUACCAACAGAAUAAGCACCGGCUAACUUCGUG
RNAcentral lists this ribosomal RNA (484 nucleotides) under uncultured bacterium. RNAcentral describes it as "partial 16S ribosomal RNA". It matches the Rfam family "Bacterial small subunit ribosomal RNA", at positions 30 to 507 of the family's 1533-position model. The record is from RNAcentral.